UACGGAGGGUGCGAGCGUUGUCCGGAGUUACUGGGCGUAAAGCGCACGCAGGCGGUCUGCUAAGUUUGGAGUGACAGUUGGUGGCUUAACUGCCAAAGUGCUUCGAAAACUGACAGACUUGAGGGCUUCAGAGGGACACGGAAUUCCGGGUGGAGUGGUGAAAUGCGUAGAGAUCCGGAGGAACACCAAAGGCGAAGGCAGUGUCCUGGGGAGUACCUGACGCUCAGGUGCGAAAGCCAGGGGAGCGAACGGG
This 253-nucleotide ribosomal RNA is filed under the name uncultured bacterium. RNAcentral describes it as "partial 16S ribosomal RNA". It matches the Rfam family "Bacterial small subunit ribosomal RNA", at positions 524 to 776 of the family's 1533-position model. The record is from RNAcentral.